Molecule: long non-coding RNA, 2294 nt
Filed under: Triticum aestivum (bread wheat)
Lineage: Eukaryota; Viridiplantae; Streptophyta; Magnoliopsida; Poales; Poaceae
Description: long non-coding RNA (TAES_LNC017320)
Source: RNAcentral
GACGCGGCUUGCCUGCGGCCGCUGCGUGCGACCAUCCGUGCGGCGUGUCCAUCGCACGGCCCUGGCUCCACGGACGCCCCGCUCCACGCACGCAACGAUUGAUCCUGAUUUUAAGUGAAAAAAAAAACAAAAUACACAUCGUAAUACUGAUUCCCUUCUUCAGCACCCGCCAAAAGAACCACCGAAUACACAAAAGGGCGCCAAAAUGCAAGAUCUACAUCUCAUAUGAGGCGGAAGUGACCUUACAGCCUUAAAGCGCACAAUUAUCAAUAGUGGCUUAACCAGGAAUCAGGAAACUCUUCUCUUCAAUUGAGCAGCAAAGGAAUCCGCGUCUCUGAUGGUUUCUCCGAGUCUUGCAUCCCUGACGACUUCUCCGAGGAGUGUUCCAGGGAACCAGGACACUGACGAACAAUCUCAUGCACCAAAAGUAAGAAAUCUCAUUCGGUUCUGACGAUGAAUCUGCGGCAAAUUCUCUUAUUUCUUUGUUUUGAACCAUUCCGGGAGACUUCACAUCCAGCAGUGCACACAAAUAUGUUUGCCUAAAAGAUCCACUUUCCAUCAACUGUGACACGAUCCAGAGUGUUGGCCGGGAAAAAGCAGUGUGCUGCACCCUUGUAGAACUUCUACAGGAAUCUGUGACCGCAUUCUGCAAAAGCCAAACAACAAUGGAAAGUUAGUUUUUUUUUAAUUUAGAAAAACAAAGCAGUGUCAUGUACAGUAGCCAAUUUCAGACGUUCUUGUACCAUCUCUGAUUUCAGGUUUUGGAAAACAUGCACUACAGUUUUUUCUAUUCCUUUUACAAUACAUAUAGUUCAUGGACAAACAUAAGAGAUAGUUGAAUAUACUUGCAAAAACCGUGUACAGAUAUGAAAUAUAAACAGAACAAGGAUUCUAGAGUGCAUCACGAUUUCUUCUCUAAAACUUAAGACUCCUGAUGUCUCAAUGCACUCCAUGUUUCUUAAGACAAAUACGAUUGCAAGAGAUAUAAAUAUGAUUUAUGAUGCAGUUCAUAAAAACUCAUGAUAGGCAAAUAUGAUUGCUAUAUGUGUGUAUUAACUAAAUUGAAUCCUAACUGAUAUAGGAUCAAGAAACUACAGUAGAUCACACCGAUGAAAGGGUACCAAAGCUUGGCAUGAAAUUUUUAUCUGAAGAGGAAGCUUAUUUAUUUUAUAACAAGUAUGCUAAAACCAUCGGUUUUAGCAUCAGAAGAAGCAGUGGUCAUAAAGUGAUGAACUCUUCUACAUUUCAGCAACGGACAUUUACAUGCUCUCGUCAAGGUGUGGGUUAUUUUCAUUUUUUUUAAUUAUAAUCAUUUAUUUAUGCUCUAAGACAAUUACAACAACUUAUAGGCCAUCGCCAGGAAGAUAAAAGAGAGGAGACAUUCACUUACAGUAGGCCUGAAACACGAUGUGGUUGUGAUGCCCGUAUGAAGAUUAGCCUUAGAGAUGGAUUUUAUUAUGUGUAUGAAUUCGAGGCGUCACAUAACCACACUCUUGCUAAUGGACUCAUGGCCCAAUACUUGAGAUCCCAGAGAAAAGUGACAGAAGCACAGAUAGCAAACGCAGAGGUUGCAAAGUCAGUUGGCAUUUCAAAUAAAGCAACAAUCGAUUUGAUGGCUAAAGAAGCAGGUGGAAGUGAAAACCUUGGCUUUACACCUCCAGAUAUGAAAAAUUGUUUGUACUCAAAGAGAACAAUAAAAGCAAAGGUAGGUGACACAGGGGGGGUAUUAGAAUACAUGGAGAAAAAGGUCUCAGAAGAUGUCAACUUCUUCUAUUCAAUUCAAGUGGAUGAGGAUGAGUUGAUAACUAAUAUUUUUUGGGCCGACUCCAAAAUGGUUUCAGACUAUGCAAUGUUCGGCGAUGUUAUAUGCUUUGACACCACAUACAGAAAACUAGAUGAUGGACGUCCAUUUGGUUUGAUUGUCGGGGUGAAUAAUCAUAAGAAAACUAUUGUCUUUGGUGCUCCACUUCUAUAUGAUGAAACCGCUGCUAGUUUUGCUUGGCUUUUCAGAACUUUCCUAAAAGUUAUGUCAGGAAAACAUCCACGUACAAUUCUCACCGAUGAAGAUGCGGCAAUGGCGAAGGCAAUUCGUGAAGUCUUUCCUCACUCUCACCAUAGACUUUGUGUGUGGCAUAUGAAUCAAAAUGCUUGCAAGCACCUCGCCGGAGUUGUUGACGAAUAUAAGAAGUUCAAUGUUGAUUUUCAGCACUGUAUAUAUGAUAUAGAAGAGGAGGAUGAAUUUGUAGGUGCAUGGGAUAAAAUGAUUGACAAGUAUGGACUGCGUGACAAUGAAU